AGUGCUGUAGUAAUGUAAAAUAAACCAAUUUCCGAAUUAAUGCUCUAAUUUGUAUUUUUUCACUACACCAUAUGUCCCAAUCAAUUGAUAUGUUAUAUUAUAUAUCAUUGUCUCGUGAGUUUAGCUCGGCUGAUAAGAAUAUCGGAAGUGGGAUUCAAACUCUGGACAGUCUAUUUAUUCGCCUUUAAAGUGAAAUGUUUUGCUACUAAGUGACUUGACAA
Molecule: long non-coding RNA, 221 nt
Filed under: Trifolium pratense (red clover)
Lineage: Eukaryota; Viridiplantae; Streptophyta; Magnoliopsida; Fabales; Fabaceae
Description: long non-coding RNA (TPRA_LNC000926)
Source: RNAcentral